GCCCCACCCCUCCCUCAAGAGGGCCUUGUGGACACUGUAUUUCCCAGCCUGGGGGCAGGACUUGGGGUCUGUUUUCUGAUACAGAGAUGGUGGCAGUGCAAGCAGUGUUCCCCAGCAUACAUCACCUGGAAAGGAAACACUGGCAUCCAUCCACCUGACACAACCCACGUCCCUGGCUGGUAACCGGCUCGGGUGAGCAGUUACCUCUAGAGCGUCCUUGAAUGCGCUUCUGCUCUUCUGAGGCCAAGGUCUCAGGCUCGUGGGCUACACUCUGAAAGGUUUCUGAGCUAAGGGGAGAAUGGCGGUUGGAGCCUGCAGAUUCAGGGAUAUGGGGUGGCCUGAGCCAGCCAUGGGGAUUGGACGUGAUGGAUGGCAGACCACAAGGACCCUGCGGGGCCAGCACGCUGCAAGGGGUCUCCGUGCAGGUUCAAGUUCCUGUUCAAGCGACAGUUUCUGGGCCACCUGGGCAAACCGCCUUGCCUCUCUGGGCCUCGUUCUCCCCAUCCGCACGCCUGUUACCUGAUGGGAGCCUCCUGACACGCUCUCUGAGCUCC
This is a long non-coding RNA of Manis javanica (Malayan pangolin), 554 nucleotides long. RefSeq lists it as uncharacterized. The record is from RefSeq and is a predicted model, not a curated record. NCBI's taxonomy places the organism in Eukaryota, Metazoa, Chordata, Mammalia, Pholidota, Manidae.